This 650-nucleotide ribosomal RNA is filed under the name uncultured marine eukaryote. RNAcentral's name for it is "SSU rRNA". It matches the Rfam family "Eukaryotic small subunit ribosomal RNA", at positions 613 to 1263 of the family's 1831-position model. The record is from RNAcentral.
UUGCGGUUAAAAAGCUCGUAGUUGGAUCUCGGCGGGCAGGGGGUGGUUCGCUCUUCAGCGCUACUGCCCCGCUUUGCCCGUGUGAUUGGCGGAGGUUUCGGGGUGCUCUUCGUUGAGUGACUCGGAGCGCCGUCAGGUUUACUUUGAAAAAAUUAGAGUGCUCAAAGCAGGCUUUUCACGCUUGAAUAUUCGUGCAUGGAAUAAUGGAAUAGGAACUCGUUUCUAUUUUGUUGGUUUUCGGAAAUCGAGUUAAUGAUUAACAGGGACAAUUGGGGGCAUUAGUAUUCAGACGACAGAGGUGAAAUUCUUGGACCGUCUGAAGACUGACUACUGCGAAAGCAUUUGCCAAGAGUGUUUUCAUUAAUCAAGAACGAAAGUUAGAGGUUCGAAGGCGAUCAGAUACCGCCCUAGUUCUAACCAUAAACGAUGCAGCUAGCGAUCUGCCGAGUUUUUUUUGUAGGCUCCGCAGGAAGCUUUCGGGAAACCAAAGCUUUUGGGUUCCGGGGGAAGUAUGGUUGCAAAGCUGAAACUUAAAGGAAUUGACGGAAGAGCACCACCAGGAGUGGAGCCUGCGGCUUAAUUUGACUCAACACGGGAAAUCUCACCAGGCCCGGACACUGGAAGGAUUGACAGACUGAGAGCUCUUUCUC